AUUGAACGCUGGCGGUAGGCCCAACACAUGCAAGUCGAACGGUAGCACAGUAAGAGCUUGUUAUUACGGGUGGCGAGUGGCGGACGGGUGAGGAAUACAUCGGAAUCUACUUUUUCGUGAGGGAUAACGUAGGGAAACUUACGCUAAUACCGCAUACGGCCUACGGGUGAAAGCAGGGGAUCUUCGGACCUUGCGCGAUUGAAUGAGCCGAUGUCGGAUUAGCUAGUUGGCGGGGUAAAGGCCCACCAAGGCGACGAUCCGUAGCUGGUCUGAGAGGACGAUCAGCCACACUGGAACUGAGACACGGUCCAGACUCCUACGGGAGGCAGCAGUGGGGAAUAUUGGACAAUGGGCGCAAGCCUGAUCCAGCAAUGCCGCGUGCAGGAAGAAGGCCUUCGGGUUGUAAAGUCCUUUUGUUGGGAAAGAAAAGCAGCAGGUUAAUACCCCGCUGUUCUGACGGUACCCAAAGAAUAAGCACCGGCUAACUUCGUG
RNAcentral lists this ribosomal RNA (492 nucleotides) under uncultured bacterium. Its description in RNAcentral is "partial 16S ribosomal RNA". It matches the Rfam family "Bacterial small subunit ribosomal RNA", at positions 30 to 507 of the family's 1533-position model. The record is from RNAcentral.